RNAcentral lists this ribosomal RNA (492 nucleotides) under uncultured bacterium. RNAcentral's name for it is "partial 16S ribosomal RNA". It matches the Rfam family "Bacterial small subunit ribosomal RNA", at positions 28 to 507 of the family's 1533-position model. The record is from RNAcentral.
GAUGAACGCUAGCUACAGGCUUAACACAUGCAAGUCGAGGGGAAACGACAUCGAAAGCUUGCUUUUGAUUUGCGUCGACCGGCGCACGGGUGAGUAACGCGUAUCCCACCUGCCCAUCACUUGGGAAUAACCUUCCGAAAGUAAUACUAAUACCUAAUGACAUCCCCCGAAUACAUCUGAAUGGGAUUAAAUAUUUAUCGGUGAUGGAUGGGUAUGCGUCUGAUUAGCUUGUUGGCGGGGUAACGGCCCACCAAGGCAACGAUCAGUAGGGGUGCUGAGAGGAAGGUACCCCAGAUUGGAACUGAGACACAGACCAAAAUCGUACGGGAGGGAGGAGUGAGGAAUAUUGGUCAAGAGGCGAGGGCCUGAACCAGCCAAGUAGCGGGCAGAAUGACGGGCAUAUGGGUUGUAAACUGCUUUGAUAAGGGAAUAAAGUGGGUCACGUGAGACUUUUUGAAGGUACCUUAUGAAUAAGGAACGGCUAAUUCCGUG